RNAcentral lists this ribosomal RNA (497 nucleotides) under uncultured bacterium. RNAcentral's name for it is "partial 16S ribosomal RNA". It matches the Rfam family "Bacterial small subunit ribosomal RNA", at positions 30 to 507 of the family's 1533-position model. The record is from RNAcentral.
AUUGAACGCUGGCGGCAUGCCUAACACAUGCAAGUCGAGCGGAUGAAGGGAGCUUUCUCCUGGAUUCAGCGGCGGACGGGUGAGUAAUUCCUAGGAAUCUACCUUGUCUUUGGGGCUAACAUCAGUACACGGGACCUAAUCCCACAUACGUCCUGAUGUUGAACGGGAGGGUUCUUCGGACCUCGACCUACCUGAUGACCCUAGUUCAUAUUUCCGAGCUGGAUUAGCUAGUUGGUACGGUAACGGCUUACCAAGGCUACGAUCCGUAGCUGAUCUGAGAGGGUGAUCAGUCACACUGGAACUGAGACACGGUCCAGACUCCUACGGGAGGCAGCAGUGGGGAAUAUUGGACAAUGGGCGAAAGCCUGAUGGAGCAACGCCGCGUGUGUGAAGAAGGUCUUCGGAUCGUAAAGCUCUUUUAGUUGGGAAGAAGAGAAGUAAGUUAAACCGUUGAUGUCUUGACGUUACCAAAACAAUAAGCCCCGGCUAACUUCGUG